GGGAAGACAAAAAUUCUUCAAUUAAGACGUCGGUUCUGAACGUAAGCGACGUCUAAGUUCCUGUAAUUAAUUAUUUUCACCAAAUUCGAGGGGUUUAGACAUCGGCUAGGAGGGACAUCGACGUGAACUACCCCUGACAGGAAAUCAAACGUCAAUCUUUUCAGCUUCUUGACGUAGAAUAGACGUCUGAUCCCCUGAAACACCGACGUCUAUAGAUGUUGGUUUCUUAGCAACCGACGCCCCAUUUCAUUUUAAAUAGACCGCAGACUCUUUUCGCCAUUUAGUUUUUGAUGACGUCUUCAUCUCUUCUCCUUUUUCUCUGCUUCUCCUCUUCUUUUACUCGCUUGCGCGCCUCUACUUUUUAUCUCUUGCGGCAUUGCAUUGUCGUUUCUCAUAACGUCAUUGUCUUCGUCCUCUCCUUUUUCUCUUUUGCAUCCCAGGUGCGUGGUUGUUUUUUUUAUACUUACCGUUUAAACUUUCUUUAGUUUUUUAUCGAUUAUCUUGUCGUUCAACGGAUUAAAAUUUGUUUUCUUUGUGUUGUGUUUUAGUGCAGUUUUGAUCCUCUCUUUGGGUAACAUAUUGCAACAUUCUCCCUUUGCUGGUUUCCUCACAAGAAGAGUGGUGAUCUUUUGAGUUUUCUAAUUCUUCCGACCC
RNAcentral lists this long non-coding RNA (654 nucleotides) under Vigna radiata. RNAcentral describes it as "long non-coding RNA (VRAD_LNC018332)". The record is from RNAcentral. Lineage: Eukaryota; Viridiplantae; Streptophyta; Magnoliopsida; Fabales; Fabaceae.